UGCAUUUAGAAUAUCAACUUUUAUUGAUUCACAACAUAACUAACUGGUCUUGAAAGGUAAAUAAAGUUAGGCUUAGUCAGUACUUCUUUAUGGGAGACCUUCAAGGAAAUCUAAUCCUGGAGGCUA
This 126-nucleotide ribosomal RNA is filed under the name Notechis scutatus (mainland tiger snake). Lineage: Eukaryota; Metazoa; Chordata; Lepidosauria; Squamata; Elapidae. The record is from RNAcentral.